UGAUGAUCAAUUAUGAAAAUGCAAAAGGAUUGAUAGAUCAGUAAACACGCAACAAAAAGAUGGGUGCUCAUGGUGGCCUCCAAAUAAAUACAUGCCAGGCUGCUAAAGAGGGUCAGGAUGAUGGAGAUGCAAGAGCCAAAGACAGCACAGACCAAACACCAGGCCAGAAUUCUGCAUGAGUCAGAUUGAGUAAUUUUCACUCUAGAGACCCUGGGGUGACCACCAAGGACGAAUGCAAAGUAAGUGACCUACAAAACAA
Molecule: non-coding RNA, 259 nt
Organism: Paramisgurnus dabryanus
Lineage: Eukaryota; Metazoa; Chordata; Actinopteri; Cypriniformes; Cobitidae
Source: RefSeq, a predicted model, not a curated record